This 254-nucleotide ribosomal RNA is filed under the name uncultured bacterium. Its description in RNAcentral is "partial 16S ribosomal RNA". It matches the Rfam family "Bacterial small subunit ribosomal RNA", at positions 524 to 776 of the family's 1533-position model. The record is from RNAcentral.
UACGUAGGGGGCAAGCGUUGUCCGGAUUUAUUGGGCGUAAAGAGCUCGUAGGCGGUUCCGUAAGUCAUGAAGUCAAAUCUCUGGGCUCAACCCAGAAUCGCUUCCGAUACUGCGGUGACUGGAGUCCGGUAGGGGAGUGUGGAAUUCCUGGUGUAGCGGUGAAAUGCGCAGAUAUCAGGAAGAACACCCGUGGCGAAAGCGGCUCUCUGGAACGGUACUGACGCUGAGACGCGAAAGCGUGGGGAGCGAACAGG